This 71-nucleotide transfer RNA is filed under the name Ktedonospora formicarum. It matches the Rfam family "tRNA". From Rfam's summary of the family: Transfer RNA (tRNA) molecules are approximately 80 nucleotides in length. Their secondary structure includes four short double-helical elements and three loops (D, anti-codon, and T loops). Lineage: Bacteria; Bacillati; Chloroflexota; Ktedonobacteria; Ktedonobacterales; Ktedonobacteraceae. The record is from Rfam by way of RNAcentral.
UGUGGGUUGGUGCAACGGUAGCACAGCGGCCUCAUAAGUCGCAAAUUAGGGUUCGAUUCCCUGAUCCGCAA